RNAcentral lists this ribosomal RNA (297 nucleotides) under uncultured fungus. Its description in RNAcentral is "partial 18S ribosomal RNA". It matches the Rfam family "Eukaryotic small subunit ribosomal RNA", at positions 68 to 370 of the family's 1831-position model. The record is from RNAcentral. Lineage: Eukaryota; Fungi.
AGCAUUAUACCGUGAAACUGCGAAUGGCUCAUUAAAUCAGUUAUCGUUUAUUUGAUAGUACCUUACUACUUGGAUAACCGUGGUAAUUCUAGAGCUAAUACAUGCUGAAAACCCCAACUUCGGGAGGGGUGUAUUUAUUAGAUAAAAAACCAACGCCCUUCGGGGCUUCUUGGUGAUUCAUGAUAACUUUGCGGAUCGCAUGGCCUUGCGCCGGCGACGGUUCAUUCAAAUUUCUGCCCUAUCAACUUUCGAUGGUAAGGUAUUGGCUUACCAUGGUUUCAACGGGUAACGGGGAAU